Molecule: non-coding RNA, 393 nt
Organism: Oryctolagus cuniculus (rabbit)
Lineage: Eukaryota; Metazoa; Chordata; Mammalia; Lagomorpha; Leporidae
Source: RefSeq, a predicted model, not a curated record
UCCUCUUUUUCUUGCAGAUUUUAAAUUUCCAACCUGUUAAGUGCAUUUGUGAACCAAAUUUGAAGAGAAUUCUGGGUACCGGGUUCUUGCACAAGGCAUCUGGUGAACAAACUCAUCAAAUGGAUUCCCAGCCGUGUUUUCAUAUUUAUCAAAUAACUGGCCAUUGGGUACAGAAAGGUACUUGUUUAAGAAACUAUACAAAUCAUUGCCCUUUGGUCAGAAAAAUAACAUCUAUCUUACGGAAAAUAAGCAACAGAAUUUUCACUUCCAUGGAACAGUCUGUGGGCUACAAACCAUGACCCCAGAGAUGGAACAGCCAACCCAGGAGACAACUCAAAGUCCUCAGGUUUGACUUUGUGGAUUCUGACAUCACAGAAAUACCCGUGACCUUCA